RNAcentral lists this ribosomal RNA (440 nucleotides) under uncultured bacterium. RNAcentral describes it as "partial 16S ribosomal RNA". It matches the Rfam family "Bacterial small subunit ribosomal RNA", at positions 338 to 795 of the family's 1533-position model. The record is from RNAcentral.
CCUACGGGCGGCAGCAGUAGGGAAUAUUGCUCAAUGGGGGAAACCCUGACGCAGCAACGCCGCGUGGAGGAUGAAGGUUUUAGGAUUGUAAACUCCUUUUGUGAGAGAUGAUCAUGACGGUAUCACCCCAAUAACAACCGGCUAACACCGUCCCAGCAGCCGCGGCAAUACUGAGGGUGCAAGCGUUACUCGGAAUGAUUGGGCGUAAGGAGUGCGCAGGCGGGCUUGUAAGUCAGAUGUGAAAUCCUGUAGCUUAACUACAGAACUGCAUUUGAAACUAUGAGUCUAGAGUGUGGGAGAGGUAGGUGGAAUUCUUAGUGUAGGGGUAAAAUCCGUAGAUAUCAAGAGGAAUACUCAUUGCGAAGGCGACCUACUGGAACAUUACUGACGCUCAUGCACGAAAGCGUGGGGAGCAAACAGGAUUAGAUACCCCAGUAGUC